AAAAGGAGACAUAAAAUUCAACUUUUGCUAGCCACUCUUUCCCUUUUUGCUCUCCAUAUACCUCAUAUGUGCAGUAUUUAUUUUGUUUGUCUUAUUCUGGUCAUAAAGUUAUCUAGGAGGCUAGGAGCGCUGACCACCAUCAGAGAUGGGAAAGUAGUCUGUUCUGAUUGUAGUGACGAAAGGAGUUCAAUUCACACCAAGGGUCUUUCUCGCAUUUAGAAACAUCCUAUUAUUUAAGGCCUUUCGCUCAUAUAAGCUCAUCACUAGUUCUUUACCUUUCUAUUUCAUUUCUCUCUACUCUCAUGUUUGUGUUCUCCGUUCCUA
Non-coding RNA from Equus caballus (horse), 324 nucleotides. The record is from Rfam. NCBI's taxonomy places the organism in Eukaryota, Metazoa, Chordata, Mammalia, Perissodactyla, Equidae.